This 229-nucleotide ribosomal RNA is filed under the name uncultured bacterium. Its description in RNAcentral is "partial 16S ribosomal RNA". It matches the Rfam family "Bacterial small subunit ribosomal RNA", at positions 568 to 796 of the family's 1533-position model. The record is from RNAcentral.
UGUGUAGGCGGAAAUGUAAGCGUCUUGUGAAAUCCCCCGGCUUAACCGGGGAAUUGCGUGACGAACUACAUUUCUUGAGGCAAAUAGGGGUGCAUGGAACUCUUGGUGGAGCGGUGGAAUGCGUAGAUAUCAAGAGGAACGCCAGUGGUGAAGACGGUGCACUAGAUUUGCUCUGACGCUGAGACACGAAAGCGUGGGUAGCGAACAGGAUUAGAUACCCUGGUAGUCC